Molecule: ribosomal RNA, 430 nt
Filed under: Melo melo
Lineage: Eukaryota; Metazoa; Mollusca; Gastropoda; Neogastropoda; Volutidae
Description: partial 12S ribosomal RNA
Rfam family: Microsporidia small subunit ribosomal RNA (bases 66-430)
Source: RNAcentral
UAAAGCCUCCCAACUGGGAUUAGAUACCCCACUAUUCAAGGUUAUAAAUUAAUGUAAAUUUACCAGAGUACUACGAAUAAAAAGGUUUAAAACUCAAAGGGCUUGGCGGUGUUUUAGACUUAUCAGGGGAACCUGUCUCGUAAUCGAUAAUCCACGUUAUACCUGAUCUUUCUUGGCAAUUCAGUUUGUAUACCGUUGUCUGCAGGUAACUUUUAAGAAAGUAAAAGUUAGCAAGUAAACUUGUUAGUUAAUACGUCAAAUCAAGGUGCAGUAUAUAGAGAGAUGAAGAUGGGUUACAGUUAUUUAUUUAUAACUACGGAUAGAUAGACUAAUGUCUAUUUUGAAGGAGGACUUGAAAGUAAGAAGGAUAUAUAAAAACAUUUUGAAUAUGGCUCUGAAACGUGCACACACCGCCCGUCACCCCCUCAAG